GUUUCAUGCUCAUUUAUACUAUAGAGUGUAAAAUAUAAUAAAAAGGCUUACACAUUUCCUAUUUACAAUGCAAACCGUGCUAUUUUUGCAUGUUAUAAAAAAAAUUCCACUCUGCUGUGUUUCACAUGAAUAACUUCCUGAUACAUUAUUUCAAGUCCGAUUCAUGGUAUAUGCGUAUGUGUGAUCAUGUCUAUAUGAGUAAAUAGUUUAACAUGAUAGGGUGACCAGAUGUAAGAUCUAGGUGCAAGAUGUUUCCUGCAAGCUUACAUGGAAAUAUUUGCUGUUCAAGGCUGCAAGGAAGACUCUCUUCAUCUAAACGCCCAACAUAUCUGUUUGUUCCGAGCAAAAACACCUAUCAUAGAUCCAAGCUGCAGUGGUACAGAAGCUGGCAGAACAUUAAGAUAAGAGUUUUCGCAAAAAUAUGAAUAUCUGGGUUAUCCCUGACGCUCUGGAGACACCCGAGAGUCCGCAUUUCUUGUGAUGCCUUUUCCAUCAUGUCUUACCUCAUAAGCUCAUAGAUGGCUCCUAUAGGAUCUAUACACCAGCUAAAUCCCCUACCUCCGUCUCUAGAGAUCUAAUUGUACAGUUUGUCACACAUCCUAACAAGAUAUCAGUUAUGGCAGCUGUCAGAGAUUCCCCUUCUUUGGAAUUCGAGCAAUAUUGACUGUCUUUCUAUUCUGACUUAUUUAGGUCCACACUACAAUGGAGACGGUCUUUUCACCCUGUUUCCAUUGUUCUGCAGGACAAAAUAUACCCUAUUGUUGGGACAACCUAAGAUUUCUACAGAUCUUUAGUCCACUAAAGAUUGGACUACACAUAAGUAACUUACUGCUGCAGACUCACAGGCUUUCCUUGCUGUGUUGGGAGUCCCUCUAAACGCGGUUCCCAAGCAUCGUUGGGACAUAACUAUCAUCAUGCCAUUUGUGCCUGCUUGGUGACCUACUUUAACUGAUGGCCCUGGUAAAAGAAACCGUGUGCGAUUUCUCCGGUGUCUUUAUUGCUUUUUGUUUAUUUCUUUUGAUAUAUGAAUGGUAUUUCUUGUAGCAUUUAUUGCUUUAGCCUGGAUCCCACAUAAUGUAUAGCAGAUACAGCAGCUAAACUCAUUACUCCUUGAAUUCUUAUUGUACU
This is a non-coding RNA of Pelobates cultripes (western spadefoot toad), 1128 nucleotides long. The record is from the annotation of a GenBank genome assembly. NCBI's taxonomy places the organism in Eukaryota, Metazoa, Chordata, Amphibia, Anura, Pelobatidae.